This 207-nucleotide ribosomal RNA is filed under the name uncultured bacterium. RNAcentral's name for it is "partial 16S ribosomal RNA". It matches the Rfam family "Bacterial small subunit ribosomal RNA", at positions 568 to 774 of the family's 1533-position model. The record is from RNAcentral.
CGUGUAGGCGGCCAGACAGGUCUGUUGUGAAAACUGGAGGCUUAACCUCCAGACGUCGACAGAAACCGUCUGGCUAGAGUCCGGAAGAGGAGAGUGGAAUUCCUGGUGUAGCGGUGAAAUGCGCAGAUAUCAGGAAGAACACCAAUGGCGAAGGCAGCUCUCUGGGACGGUACUGACGCUGAGACGCGAAAGCGUGGGGAGCGAACA